Zalophus californianus (California sea lion) is the source of this 382-nucleotide long non-coding RNA. RefSeq lists it as uncharacterized. NCBI's taxonomy places the organism in Eukaryota, Metazoa, Chordata, Mammalia, Carnivora, Otariidae. The transcript is spliced from 3 exons. The record is from RefSeq and is a predicted model, not a curated record.
AUCUGCCAGCAUCAUAAAUAACAGACAAGGGAUGCCUGGGUGGCUCAGUCGUUAAGCAUCUGCCUUUGGCUCAGAGCAAGCGCCCAGGCUUCACCAUCAAGGAGCUUGGAAGUGGGAAGCAACACAAAAUGAGGAGUAAACCAGGUGGACAAGAUGAGCACAGUGAUGAGAGCCCAUGAGCAGAGAAGACAAGCCAGCAGGAUAGAUUGGAGAUUGACAACCAGAGAGAGGAGGAAUCACGGAAGAGAAGAGAAGAGGAGAGGAGAGGAGAGAAGAAAAAAGAAAAACAUAAAAUUAAGAACUCUAAACAGACUUCCACAUCAACUCUACCCUAUCCUCCAAAAAAGUCUUUUGGUGUCAAUUUCUAUAAAAAUUAAAUUUA